This 734-nucleotide ribosomal RNA is filed under the name uncultured bacterium. RNAcentral's name for it is "bacterial SSU rRNA". It matches the Rfam family "Bacterial small subunit ribosomal RNA", at positions 1 to 715 of the family's 1533-position model. The record is from RNAcentral.
CCCUUAGAGUUUGAUCCUGGCUCAGAAUCAACGCUGGCGGCGUGCCUAACACAUGCAAGUCGAACGGGAAGGAGGGCUUCGGCCCUCCGGAGAGUGGCGCACGGGUGAGUAACACGUGGGUAAUCUGCCUUCGGGUGGGGAAUAACGUCCCGAAAGGGACGCUAAUACCGCAUAACGCAGCGGCACCGCAUGGUGACAGUUGUUAAAGGGGGGGAUCUUCGGACCUCUCGCCUGAAGAGGAGCCCGCGCCCGAUUAGCUCGUUGGUGAGGUAAUGGCUCACCAAGGCAUCGAUCGGUAGCCGGCCUGAGAGGGCGGUCGGCCACACUGGCACUGAGACACGGGCCAGACUCCUACGGGAGGCAGCAGUGGGGAAUUUUGGGCAAUGGGCGAAAGCCUGACCCAGCAACGCCGCGUGAAGGACGAAAUCCCUCCGGGAUGUAAACUUCGAAAGUCAGGAAAGAAAUCCAUAUGGAUAAUACCCAUGUGGGAUGACGGUACCUGACGUAAGCCCCGGCUAACUACGUGCCAGCAGCCGCGGUAAUACGUAGGGGGCAAGCGUUGUUCGGAAUUACUGGGCGUAAAGGGCGCGUAGGCGGCAUGGCAAGUCAGGAGUGAAAGGCCUGGGCUCAACCGAGGAACUGCUUUUGAGACUGCCAAGCUAGAGUGCGGAAGGGGCAACUGGAAUUCCCAGUGUAGCGGUGAAAUGCGUAGAUAUUGGGAAGAACACCGGAGG